This 424-nucleotide ribosomal RNA is filed under the name uncultured bacterium. Its description in RNAcentral is "bacterial SSU rRNA". It matches the Rfam family "Bacterial small subunit ribosomal RNA", at positions 358 to 773 of the family's 1533-position model. The record is from RNAcentral.
GGAAUUGUUCGCAAUGGGCGCAAGCCUGACGACGCAACGCCGCGUGGAGGACGAAGAUCUUCGGGUCGUAAACUCCUGUCGAGCGGGAAGAAACCCGCGGGGAUGAAUAAUCCCUGCCGCUGACGGUACCGCGAAAGGACGCCCCGGCUAACUCCGUGCCACCAGCCGCGGUAAUACGAAGGGUACAAGCGUUACUCGGAAUUACUGGGCGUAAAGCGUGCGUAGGUGGUUUGUUAAGUCUGAUGUGAAAGCCCUGGGCUCAACCUGGGAAUUGCAUUGGAUACUGGCAGUCUAGAGUGCGGUAGAGGGUAGCGGAAUUCCCGGUGUAGCAGUGAAAUGCGUAGAUAUCGGGAGGAACAUCCGUGGCGAAGGCGGCUACCUGGACCAGCACUGACACUGAGGCACGAAAGCGUGAGGAGCAAAC